Molecule: ribosomal RNA, 119 nt
Filed under: Saimiri boliviensis boliviensis (Bolivian squirrel monkey)
Lineage: Eukaryota; Metazoa; Chordata; Mammalia; Primates; Cebidae
Source: RNAcentral
GUCUACGGUCAUACCACCCAGAACACGCCUGAUCUUCUCUGAUCUCGAAAGCUAAGCAGAGUCGGGCCUGGUUAGUACUUGGAUGGGGGACUGCCUGGGAAUACCGGGUGCCACAGGCA